GACGUAGGGCGCGAGCGUUGUCCGGAUUUAUUGGGCGUAAAGAGCUCGUAGGCGGCUUGUUGCGUCGACUGUGAAAACCUGCGGCUCAACCGUGUGGUCUGCAGUCGAUACGGGCAGGCUGGAGUUCGGUAGGGGAGACUGGAAUUCCUGGUGUAGCGGUGAAAUGCGCAGAUAUCAGGAGGAACACCGGUGGCGAAGGCGGCGUCCUGGACCAACACUGACACUGAUGAGCGAAAGCCAGGGGAGCAAACGGG
Molecule: ribosomal RNA, 254 nt
Filed under: uncultured bacterium
Lineage: Bacteria
Description: partial 16S ribosomal RNA
Rfam family: Bacterial small subunit ribosomal RNA
Source: RNAcentral